AUUCGUUCAAAACCUAAACAGCUCAAAACACGGAUUCGCGUCCUCAACGAAGUAUACAGGUUUGUUCACAUCAGACAGGUGUCGACCAUCUGCUAUAUAGCAUCAGAGAGUGAGCGUUUAUCAUCUGUGAGGUCAGCGACCUCUGAAGUCUCUUGUUUUGCACAGCUACUCACUCUGUGCGUGACCUGGUUCCUCUGAUCUGGUUUUAGGGUUGGCUGACUUUAGAAUUGAAGGCAACAGGUGAUGUGCAGAAGUUUGGUGGAUCUGCUGAGGCAUCUCUCUAGAGCUCACUAAAAGAAAAUGUUCAUAUUUGAAAUAUUGUUGGGUGAAUCUCAAGAAGAAAUGUCCAGGGGCCAGCUGUUCAAAGUGUGCAGUCAGUGAGAGAGGCAGACUGAAGCUGGAGACACAGAUGGAUGGCAUGAUUCUGAUCAUUUCAUACUGAAUGGAGCCGAGACAGACCUCAAAGAAAAC
Onychostoma macrolepis is the source of this 471-nucleotide long non-coding RNA. RefSeq lists it as uncharacterized. The transcript is spliced from 3 exons. NCBI's taxonomy places the organism in Eukaryota, Metazoa, Chordata, Actinopteri, Cypriniformes, Cyprinidae. The record is from RefSeq and is a predicted model, not a curated record.